This 263-nucleotide ribosomal RNA is filed under the name uncultured bacterium. Its description in RNAcentral is "partial 16S ribosomal RNA". It matches the Rfam family "Bacterial small subunit ribosomal RNA", at positions 32 to 303 of the family's 1533-position model. The record is from RNAcentral.
AAUCAACGCUGGCGGCGUGCCUAACACAUGCAAGUCGAACGCGAAAGGGCUUCGGUUCCUGAGUAGAGUGGCGUACGGGUGAGUAACGCGUGGGUCAUCUGCCCUCGGGUGGGAAGUAACUAAAUCGAAAGGUUAGACUAAUACCGCAUAACGCAGUGAUGUCAAAGCAGCAAUGUGCCUGAGGAGGAGCCUGCGUCUGAUUAGGUAGUUGGUGGGUAACGGCCAACCAGCCCUGCCGAUCAGUAGCUGGUCUGAGAGGACGG